AAAUUGAAGAGUUUGAUCAUGGCUCAGAUUGAACGCUGGCGGCAGGCCUAACACAUGCAAGUCGAACGGUAACAGGAAGAAGCUUGCUUCUUUGCUGACGAGUGGCGGACGGGUGAGUAAUGUCUGGGAAACUGCCUGAUGGAGGGGGAUAACUACUGGAAACGGUAGCUAAUACCGCAUAACGUCGCAAGACCAAAGAGGGGGACCUUCGGGCCUCUUGCCAUCGGAUGUGCCCAGAUGGGAUUAGCUAGUAGGUGGGGUAAUGGCUCACCUAGGCGACGAUCCCUAGCUGGUCUGAGAGGAUGACCAGCCACACUGGAACUGAGACACGGUCCAGACUCCUACGGGAGGCAGCAGUGGGGAAUAUUGCACAAUGGGCGCAAGCCUGAUGCAGCCAUGCCGCGUGUAUGAAGAAGGCCUUCGGGUUGUAAAGUACUUUCAGCGGGGAGGAAGGGAGUAAAGUUAAUACCUUUGCUCAUUGACGUUACCCGCAGAAGAAGCACCGGCUAACUCCGUGCCAGCAGCCGCGGUAAUACGGAGGGUGCAAGCGUUAAUCGGAAUUACUGGGCGUAAAGCGCACGCAGGCGGUUUGUUAAGUCAGAUGUGAAAUCCCCGGGCUCAACCUGGGAACUGCAUCUGAUACUGGCAAGCUUGAGUCUCGUAGAGGGGGGUAGAAUUCCAGGUGUAGCGGUGAAAUGCGUAGAGAUCUGGAGGAAUACCGGUGGCGAAGGCGGCCCCCUGGACGAAGACUGACGCUCAGGUGCGAAAGCGUGGGGAGCAAACAGGAUUAGAUACCCUGGUAGUCCACGCCGUAAACGAUGUCGACUUGGAGGUUGUGCCCUUGAGGCGUGGCUUCCGGAGCUAACGCGUUAAGUCGACCGCCUGGGGAGUACGGCCGCAAGGUUAAAACUCAAAUGAAUUGACGGGGGCCCGCACAAGCGGUGGAGCAUGUGGUUUAAUUCGAUGCAACGCGAAGAACCUUACCUGGUCUUGACAUCCACGGAAGUUUUCAGAGAUGAGAAUGUGCCUUCGGGAACCGUGAGACAGGUGCUGCAUGGCUGUCGUCAGCUCGUGUUGUGAAAUGUUGGGUUAAGUCCCGCAACGAGCGCAACCCUUAUCCUUUGUUGCCAGCGGUCCGGCCGGGAACUCAAAGGAGACUGCCAGUGAUAAACUGGAGGAAGGUGGGGAUGACGUCAAGUCAUCAUGGCCCUUACGACCAGGGCUACACACGUGCUACAAUGGCGCAUACAAAGAGAAGCGACCUCGCGAGAGCAAGCGGACCUCAUAAAGUGCGUCGUAGUCCGGAUUGGAGUCUGCAACUCGACUCCAUGAAGUCGGAAUCGCUAGUAAUCGUGGAUCAGAAUGCCACGGUGAAUACGUUCCCGGGCCUUGUACACACCGCCCGUCACACCAUGGGAGUGGGUUGCAAAAGAAGUAGGUAGCUUAACCUUCGGGAGGGCGCUUACCACUUUGUGAUUCAUGACUGGGGUGAAGUCGUAACAAGGUAACCGUAGGGGAACCUGCGGUUGGAUCACCUCCUUACCUUAAAGAAGC
Molecule: ribosomal RNA, 1554 nt
Filed under: Escherichia coli
Lineage: Bacteria; Pseudomonadati; Pseudomonadota; Gammaproteobacteria; Enterobacterales; Enterobacteriaceae
Description: bacterial SSU rRNA
Rfam family: Bacterial small subunit ribosomal RNA
Source: RNAcentral